Oxyura jamaicensis (ruddy duck) is the source of this 2248-nucleotide RNA transcript. It is a transcript of the gene named zinc finger protein 821, with no coding region annotated. The record is from RefSeq and is a predicted model, not a curated record. Lineage: Eukaryota; Metazoa; Chordata; Aves; Anseriformes; Anatidae. The transcript has 3 exons.
CAGCUGCCUCUGUGUCUGGAGCUGCAUCUGUCAGGCAGACAGUUCCUUUGUGUGCCUGGUGCCUGGCCUCUCUGGCUGUCCCCUCUUCCUCUCUCUGGGUCAGUUUGGUGGUGGCUUUGGUUAGGUCUGUGCCUUAUCUGCUGUGGGAGCAGACGGGAGGGAGGAAGGAAUUUAGACUGAGAGUGCAGUCACUCCUGAAGCAAGGUGUUCUUAGCUGUUCGUAUGCCAGGUACGAGAUUGCUCGUAACUUUGCUUGAAAUGGGUGGGGCUGCCCAUGCAUGGUGGUUUGCGAAAUGCUUGUGGGUCGUGUUGGAUGGCAGCACUGUGGUUGUGGUGAUGCAGAAUGAGCCCUGUAGGCAAAAGGAUGGGGAGUGACCCUGAGGUACCCAGCUGUGUUUGGCCAGAGACUCAGAAGGUUCCAGUGGUGUGUGUGACAGGCUCUUCUCUUCUCAGGUGAGCCCUCUGCUGAGGGAACGCACACCGUGCUCCCAGGUCAGGGAAACAUGUCCCGUCGGAAACAGACCACUCCUAACAAAGUUCACUCCUGCUGUGUAUCUGGAGGGCCCAGAAAUGCCAGUGCGCUGGUGAAUGACGAGGAAAAUCGGAGAGAACAUCAUCUCCAAGAACUGGGUGAGCCAGCAGAAUGAGGAAUCAGGCUGAGACAUAGCAGGCACGUUACUGAGACUUCUUCACAGGGACUGAAAUGGUUGGGAGGAAAGGAAUAAAAGGGACAGCAGGUAUGCAGCUUUUUAUGCAGUUGUCUGCAAUUGGGAUCUGAUUUGGCCGACUGUGGGGCUGGGGAAGUGCUUUUUGGAUUCACGUAAAUGCUACUCUGAAUAUCUAACUGGACAAAUUCACGGGAGGAUGGUGCCCACUUCUUCCUUGCUUGGCUGCUCCAUGUUACCUUCCUUCUCAGAUUCAUUUGAGCAAGCAACAGCUACAGUCUCCUCUCCCUGGCUUGCUCAAUGCCACCUCUUUCCAGGGUUACUUUCCAGGCUUGGCAUGGCCCUUGUUUGACCUUCCUCUCACAACAGGGACUGCUGACCCCACUUAGCACAGAAGCACUUUGGUGUGCAGAGUGACUGGCUGGGAAGUUGUGUUGUUACAGAUCAAGUCAUUUUAAAUAGAAGUUGAUGUGUAAAGCAAUCUAAAAUAGUACAUAAACAACAGUAAAAUUACUGUUAUCGUAAACGUAUCAUUGUGUGUGAUAGCCGGUCCAUCUACAGCUUUCCUUGUAGUUGUUUCCCUUUGGCAGGUCUGCAGCACAUAAUUGGCUUUUAACAAUUUAAUUUUGUUUUGCCACGUGGUGCAUGAAAAACAUUUUCACCUGACAAUGUGGUAAGAAAUAAAACUGUAAUACUGGAAUAUACUUAUUGCAUUGCCCGUUUCACACUGAAUUGAAAAAUGCAAUACAGUCAUGUUGUUCCUGUAGAGAGAUCUUCAUUCAUCCAUUUCAGUCUUUAUUUUCUCCCAGACUCAAAAGUAUAAAUGUAUAAAAUCUUUCUAAGCAAUUAAUCAUCUGAUCUUGCUUUCAAGCCCAUCCAUUGCUGCCCUGUCACUCCAUCUGUUAUGGGUUACUCCACUGUUCUUGAGCUUGCCAAGAAUUCUGCUUCAGUAACUGCUACAGCAAUAUGGACAACCCAGAAUAGCGAUGGGGCAGGUGGACUAGAUCCACAGUGGUGGACAGACUUGCAAAUUUCAGGUCCAGGAAAGGAGCACAGAGAAGACCUACAUGAACAGGGACUUUAAAUUGCUGUACAAGGAGGGAGUAAAGUGGCUCAUCUCUGAGAGACUUUUCUGUUUAGGAAGGAAGACAGGGGAACAAUGUGGUUUCUUUUUAUUUUUGUUUUGUGGAUUUGGGGGUGAGGUUGUUUUUUGUGUGUUUAUUUUCCAGAACACCUGAGAGUUAUCCUGCAUUCAUACAGUUCAAGAAGGAAAGGGCUCAGAAAAAAAUCAUUUCUGGCUGCUGCAAAGUUGGUGCACCACCAGGUCCUAGCAGUCAUAACUGCCCCUGUUAUGCAGUACCUCAGGGCUGCCCCCUACCUCCACAGCUGCUCUCCUGGCAUCCCACUCAUUUACAAGAUUAUGGAGAGGAGAACUGGAAUGCAAAGCAGAGGCAUUUGUAUGAUUUUUUUCACUGUCCUACAUCUCUAGCUGUUUGUAAAACAAAUACAGUGUUUUGGUGUUGUGGUCAGCCUGCAGCCCUUUUUGUAUUUAAUAAAGAAACUUCUGGAGAAGAGUCUGUGAA